GAUGAACGCUGGCGGCGUGCCUAAUACAUGCAAGUCGAGCGAACGGACGAGAAGCUUGCUUCUCUGAUGUUAGCGGCGGACGGGUGAGUAACACGUGGAUAACCUACCUAUAAGACUGGGAUAACUUCGGGAAACCGGAGCUAUUACCGGAUAAUAUUUUGAACCGCAUGGUUCAAAAGUGAAAGACGGUCUUGCUGUCACUUAUAGAUGGAUCCGCGCUGCAUUAGCUAGUUGGUAAGGUAACGGCUUACCAAGGCAACGAUGCAUAGCCGACCUGAGAGGGUGAUCGGCCACUCUGGAACUGAGACACGGUCCAGACUCCUACGGGAGGCAGCAGUAGGGAAUCUUCCGCAAUGGGCGAAAGCCUGACGGAGCAACGCCGCGUGAGUGAUGAAGGUCUUCGGAUCGUAAAACUCUGUUAUUAGGGAAGAACAUAUGUGUAAGUAACUGUGCACAUCUUGACGGUACCUAAUCAGAAAGCCACGGCUAACUACGUGCCAGCAGCCGCGGUAAUACGUAGGUGGCAAGCGUUAUCCGGAAUUAUUGGGCGUAAAGCGCGCGUAGGCGGUUUUUUAAGUCUGAUGUGAAAGCCCACGGCUCAACCGUGGAGGGUCAUUGGAAACUGGAAAACUUGAGUGCAGAAGGGGAAAGUGGAAUUCCAUGUGUAGCGGUGAAAUGCGCAGAGAUAUGGAGGAACACCAGUGGCGAAGGCGACUUUCUGGUCUGUAACUGACGCUGAUGUGCGAAAGCGUGGGGAUCAAACAGGAUUAGAUACCCUGGUAGUCCACGCCGUAAACGAUGAGUGCUAAGUGUUAGGGGGUUUCCGCCCCUUAGUGCUGCAGCUAACGCAUUAAGCACUCCGCCUGGGGAGUACGACCGCAAGGUUGAAACUCAAAGGAAUUGACGGGGACCCGCACAAGCGGUGGAGCAUGUGGUUUAAUUCGAAGCAACGCGAAGAACCUUACCAAAUCUUGACAUCCUUUGACAACUCUAGAGAUAGAGCCUUCCCCUUCGGGGGACAAAGUGACAGGUGGUGCAUGGUUGUCGUCAGCUCGUGUCGUGAGAUGUUGGGUUAAGUCCCGCAACGAGCGCAACCCUUAAGCUUAGUUGCCAUCAUUAAGUUGGGCACUCUAAGUUGACUGCCGGUGACAAACCGGAGGAAGGUGGGGAUGACGUCAAAUCAUCAUGCCCCUUAUGAUUUGGGCUACACACGUGCUACAAUGGACAAUACAAAGGGCAGCGAAACCGCGAGGUCAAGCAAAUCCCACAAAGUUGUUCUCAGUUCGGAUUGUAGUCUGCAACUCGACUACAUGAAGCUGGAAUCGCUAGUAAUCGUAGAUCAGCAUGCUACGGUGAAUACGUUCCCGGGUCU
This 1372-nucleotide ribosomal RNA is filed under the name uncultured bacterium. RNAcentral's name for it is "bacterial SSU rRNA". It matches the Rfam family "Bacterial small subunit ribosomal RNA", at positions 28 to 1381 of the family's 1533-position model. The record is from RNAcentral.